Biomphalaria glabrata is the source of this 398-nucleotide long non-coding RNA. RefSeq lists it as uncharacterized. The record is from RefSeq and is a predicted model, not a curated record. The transcript has 2 exons. Lineage: Eukaryota; Metazoa; Mollusca; Gastropoda; Planorbidae.
AAAAGUAACAACCAGGAUGGGUGGACAAGGAUCUCCAAAACGGAUCUAACGAUUUUCCUACUAAUUUGACAGUUUAUGUAUAUUUUUGGGGAACAAUUACUAGCUGAUUGGCAACAUAGAGAUCCUGUGUCCUAGUCUAGACCCAUAACACAAAAAUACGUUCAAGUCGUGGAAAGGACCAGGUCGUGAUGGUUCGCUCAGGUCAAUGAGAAGGUCAUUUGGCACUUGUGAUCCACAGAAAGGAAACUCUUCGUGGUCAUUGCUAUCCUCACCCCAGGUCACAGCGCAGGAUAUUAGACUACUGUACGACAAUCCAAGUAAUAAUAGGAUUGAUGUUUUGAAAGACAUGUCCAACUAUGUUCUUUUUAGAAUAUGAUUAAAUAAAUAAGAAAAAUGAA